GUGGGGAAUAUUGGGCAAUGGGCGAAAGCCUGACCCAGCAACGCCGCGUGAAGGAAGAAGGCUUUCGGGUUGUAAACUUCUUUUGUCAGGGACGAAAAAAAUGACGGUACCUGACGAAUAAGCCACGGCUAACUACGUGCCAGCAGCCGCGGUAAUACGUAGGUGGCAAGCGGUAUCCGGAUUUACUGGGUGUAAAGGGCGUGUAGGCGGGAAAGCAAGUCAGAUGUGAAAACUAUGGGCUCAACCCAUAGCCUGCAUUUGAAACUGUUUUUCUUGAGUACUGGAGAGGCAGAUGGAAUUCCUAGUGUAGCGGUGAAAUGCGUAGAUAUUAGGAGGAACACCAGUGGCGAAGGCGAUCUGCUGGACAGCAACUGACGCUGAGGCGCGAAAGCGUGGGGAGCAAACAGGAUUAGAAACCCCUGUAGUCC
This 428-nucleotide ribosomal RNA is filed under the name uncultured bacterium. RNAcentral describes it as "partial 16S ribosomal RNA". It matches the Rfam family "Bacterial small subunit ribosomal RNA", at positions 354 to 796 of the family's 1533-position model. The record is from RNAcentral.